CGCAUAAGCGCACGGGACCGCAUGGUCCAGUGUGAAAAACUCCGGUGGUACAGGAUGGUCCCGCGUCUGAUUAGCCAGUUGGCGGGGUAACGGCCCACCAAAGCGACGAUCAGUAGCCGGCCUGAGAGGGUGGACGGCCACAUUGGGACUGAGACACGGCCCAAACUCCUACGGGAGGCAGCAGUGGGGAAUAUUGCACAAUGGGGGAAACCCUGAUGCAGCGACGCCGCGUGAGUGAAGAAGUAUUUCGGUAUGUAAAGCUCUAUCAGCAGGGAAGAAGAUGACGGUACCUGAGUAAGAAGCCCCGGCUAACUACGUGCCAGCAGCCGCGGUAAUACGUAGGGGGCAAGCGUUAUCCGGAUUUACUGGGUGUAAAGGGAGCGUAGACGGUGAAGCAAGUCUGGAGUGAAAACCCGGGGCUUAACCCCGGGAUUGCUUUGGAAACUGUUUAACUGGAGUGCAGGAGAGGUAAGCGGAAUUCCUAGUGUAGCGGUGAAAUGCGUAGAUAUUAGGAGGAACACCAGUGGCGAAGGCGGCUUACUGGACUGUAACUGACGUUGAGGCUCGAAAGCGUGGGGAGCAAACAGGAUUAGAUACCCUGGUAGUCCACGCGGUAAACGAUGAUUACUAGGUGUAGGUGGGUAUGGACCCAUCGGUGCCGCAGCUAACGCAGUAA
Molecule: ribosomal RNA, 676 nt
Filed under: uncultured bacterium
Lineage: Bacteria
Description: bacterial SSU rRNA
Rfam family: Bacterial small subunit ribosomal RNA
Source: RNAcentral